GGGCCCGCACAAGCGGUGGAGCAUGUGGUUUAAUUCGAUGAUACGCGAGGAACCUUACCAGGGCUUAAAUGUAGUGGGACAGGUCUAGAGAUAGACCCUUCUUCGGACUCAUUACAAGGUGCUGCAUGGUUGUCGUCAGCUCGUGCCGUGAGGUGUCAGGUUAAGUCCUAUAACGAGCGCAACCCCUAUCGUUAGUUGCCAGCGGGUAAUGCCGGGAACUCUAGCGAAACUGCCGGUGCAAACCGAGAGGAAGGUGGGGAUGACGUCAAAUCAUCACGGCCCUUACGUCCUGGGCUACACACGUGCUACAAUGGCCGGUACAGAGAGCAGCCACUACGCGAGUAGGAGCGAAUCCGACAAACCUAGUCGUAGUCCGGAUCGGAGUCUGCAACUCGACUCCGUGAAGUCGGAAUU
This 414-nucleotide ribosomal RNA is filed under the name uncultured bacterium. RNAcentral describes it as "bacterial SSU rRNA". It matches the Rfam family "Bacterial small subunit ribosomal RNA", at positions 917 to 1333 of the family's 1533-position model. The record is from RNAcentral.